RNAcentral lists this unclassified non-coding RNA (477 nucleotides) under Hevea brasiliensis (rubber tree). Lineage: Eukaryota; Viridiplantae; Streptophyta; Magnoliopsida; Malpighiales; Euphorbiaceae. The record is from RNAcentral.
AUAUAUAUAUAUAUAUAUAAUGAGUGUUUUGAGUGUGGUGACAUAGAGUAGAGAGAAGAAAGAAAGAAAGAAAGGUUGGCAUAUAGUGCUGUGGUGGAGGAGACAGGCAACAUGUGCAAUUCAGAGGCAAUGGCAUGUGUGGUGUCAGCCGCCUUUUAUUCCAUGUGACCUAUCACACUUGCAUUAUUUGGGUUUUUAUUUUAUUUGUUUAACAGGGUGUGUGAGAUCCUUGAGAGCUUGGAGAGGAGGGUGGGAGUGGAACCACAUGUCCCUCUCUCUCAGUUUGAGUUGUAAUUCUGUUGUACUUUUUCUAACAAAUUAUUGGGGAAUAUUAUACCUCAAAUGGCUAAAUGUAUCUUGGAUUUGGUGUGAAUUGCUUUGAGUGGCUUUUGAUACAAAUGUCAUGUGCUUCUGUACCAUUUGCUUACUCUAUAUACUUUCUUCCCUUUUCUAUAAUGUUUACCACAUAAGAUAAGU